GCAUAUCAAUAAGCGGAGGAAAAGAAACCAACAGGGAUUGCCCUAGUAACGGCGAGUGAAGCGGCAACAGCUCAAAUUUGAAAUCUGGCGUCUUUGGCGUCCGAGUUGUAAUUUGCAGAGGGCGCUUUGGCAUUGGCAGCGGUCCAAGUUCCUUGGAACAGGACGUCACAGAGGGUGAGAAUCCCGUACGUGGUCGCUAGCCUUUACCGUGUAAAGCCCCUUCGACGAGUCGAGUUGUUUGGGAAUGCAGCUCUAAAUGGGAGGUAAAUUUCUUCUAAAGCUAAAUACUGGCCAGAGACCGAUAGCGCACAAGUAGAGUGAUCGAAAGAUGAAAAGCACUUUGGAAAGAGAGUUAAAAAGCACGUGAAAUUGUUGAAAGGGAAGCGCUUGCAGCCAGACUUGCCUGUAGUUGCUCAUCCGGGUUUCUACCCGGUGCACUCUUCUAUAGGCAGGCCAGCAUCAGUUUGGGCGGUUGGAUAAAGAUCUCUGUCAUGUACCUCUCUUCGGGGAGAACUUAUAGGGGAGAUGACAUGCAACCAGCCCGGACUGAGGUCCGCGCAUCUGCUAGGAUGCUGGCGUAAUGGCUGUAAGCGGCCCGUCUUGAAACACGGACCAC
Molecule: ribosomal RNA, 616 nt
Filed under: Ascochyta dolomitica
Lineage: Eukaryota; Fungi; Ascomycota; Dothideomycetes; Pleosporales; Didymellaceae
Description: eukaryotic LSU rRNA
Rfam family: Eukaryotic large subunit ribosomal RNA
Source: RNAcentral